UACGGAGGGUGCGAGCGUUAAUCGGAAUUACUGGGCGUAAAGGGCGCGUAGGCGGCUAGAUAAGUUAGAUGUGAAAUCCCCGGGCUUAACCUGGGAAUGGCAUUUAAGACUGUGUAGCUAGAAUAGAGUAGAGGGAAGUGGAAUUUCCGGUGUAGCGGUGAAAUGCGUAGAUAUCGGAAAGAACACCAGUGGCGAAGGCGGCUUUCUGGACUCAUAUUGACGCUGAGGCGCGAAAGCAUGGGGAGCAAACAGG
Molecule: ribosomal RNA, 253 nt
Filed under: uncultured prokaryote
Description: partial 16S ribosomal RNA
Rfam family: Bacterial small subunit ribosomal RNA
Source: RNAcentral